UUAAACAAAAUUUUGGAAAUUGACUAGAGAAAAAUAUGUUUAGACAACAAAGUUUUAAACAAAAUCAUAAUUUUGGGUUCCCGCUAAGCAAUAAGGGAAUCCAGCCGCGCUCAUACGACAUAGUUGGUGGUGGCACCAAAUUCGUUUCUUACAUGAACUUGUCGAAUAACAUUCGCACAGUUCCAUCAUUAACAUUCUUCAACUCAAACACCGGAAGAUGAUGAGUGUAUCUAUGUAAGGAAGUUGAUGAUGUACAACUUCAGCGAUAUGCGGAAUCUCAGUUGCACUCAUGAGGUCAACGUAUUCGACAUGUCUCUUCAUUUGUUCACACCUCCACUGGCUCUGUGGAUCGACCAUUAGUAGGACGAGACCGUCAUGCUCAUUUUUCAAGUGUUUAUCAAGUUGAAAAUAAGUCUCCGAGGAAUUGCAAUCAUCGAGAGGACAAGACCUCAGUUUAGUCAUUUUGAUCAAAGAAUAAAUUACUAAAAUCACAUCUUUCAUCUUACUUUAAAUUUAGAUAUUACUGCGCCAACACUAGUCAAAAUUAGAUUGAAAAUUGCUAAAAAAACUCAUAGAUUUUGCUUAGUUUAAAUUUAGGGAUUCUGUCGCUGCCACUAGUCAAUAUAAAGUUAAUAAAUUACUUAGGAGUUUACAAAAUUUCAAU
Molecule: small RNA, 664 nt
Filed under: Arabidopsis thaliana (thale cress)
Lineage: Eukaryota; Viridiplantae; Streptophyta; Magnoliopsida; Brassicales; Brassicaceae
Description: ATSL283140
Source: RNAcentral